Molecule: ribosomal RNA, 484 nt
Filed under: uncultured bacterium
Lineage: Bacteria
Description: partial 16S ribosomal RNA
Rfam family: Bacterial small subunit ribosomal RNA
Source: RNAcentral
AUUGAACGCUGGCGGCAGGCCUAACACAUGCAAGUCGAGCGGAUGAAGGGAGCUUGCUCCUGGAUUCAGCGGCGGACGGGUGAGUAAUGCCUAGGAAUCUGCCUGGUAGUGGGGGAUAACGUCCGGAAACGGGCGCUAAUACCGCAUACGUCCUGAGGGAGAAAGUGGGGGAUCUUCGGACCUCACGCUAUCAGAUGAGCCUAGGUCGGAUUAGCUAGUUGGUGGGGUAAAGGCCUACCAAGGCGACGAUCCGUAACUGGUCUGAGAGGAUGAUCAGUCACACUGGAACUGAAACACGGUCCGGACUCCUACGGGAGGCAGCAGUGGGGAAUAUUGGACAAAGGGCGAAAGCCUGAUCCAGCCAUGCCGCGUGUGUGAAGAAGGUCUUCGGAUUGGAAAGCACUUUAAGUUGGGAGGAAGGGCAGUAAGUUAAUACCUUGCUGUUUUGACGUUACCAACAGAAUAAGCACCGGCUAACUUCGUG